This 203-nucleotide unclassified non-coding RNA is filed under the name uncultured Trechispora. RNAcentral's name for it is "partial internal transcribed spacer 2". Lineage: Eukaryota; Fungi; Basidiomycota; Agaricomycetes; Polyporales; Polyporaceae. The record is from RNAcentral.
AGUCAUCAACCCUUCCCGUUUUGUGCGGGAUGCGGUUGGAGCUGGGGGCGUGCGGCCGCGAGGCCGCUCCCUUCAAAUGCAUCGGUUGGACCUGUGGGUCGAACUCGACUGGGCGUUGUACCAUCCUCGCUCUCCCCGAGACGUUCCCCUUCCGUGUCCUUCCACGACCUGCUGUAGAGUGGCGGUCAAAACCAAACUUUGAA